This 503-nucleotide ribosomal RNA is filed under the name uncultured bacterium. RNAcentral describes it as "partial 16S ribosomal RNA". It matches the Rfam family "Bacterial small subunit ribosomal RNA", at positions 30 to 523 of the family's 1533-position model. The record is from RNAcentral.
AUUGAACGCUGGCGGCAGGCUUAACACAUGCAAGUCGAGCAGGGUGAUGGUGCUUGCACUAUCACUUAGCGGCGGACGGGUGAGUAAUGCUUAGGAAUCUGCCUAUUAGUGGGGGACAACAUCUCGAAAGGGAUGCUAAUACCGCAUACGUCCUACGGGAGAAAGCAGGGGAUCACUUGUGACCUUGCGCUAAUAGAUGAGCCUAAGUCGGAUUAGCUAGUUGGUGGGGUAAAGGCCUACCAAGGCGACGAUCUGUAGCGGGUCUGAGAGGAUGAUCCGCCACACUGGGACGGAGACACGGCCCAGACUCCUACGGGAGGCAGCAGUGGGGAAUAUUGGACAAUGGGGGGAACCCUGAUCCAGUCAUGCCGCGUGUGUGAAGAAGGCCUUAUGGUUGUAAAGCACUUUAAGCGAGGAGGAGGCUCUUUUGGUUAAUACCCAAGAUGAGUGGACGUUACUCGCAGAAUAAGCACCGGCUAACUCUGUGCCAGCAGCCGCCGCCG